CGCCGCGCGACCCCGCGGGCUAGCUGCGCGCGCACGCCACGUCGACCCCGUGCACGCGCCUGCGCCAUCCCGCGCUCGCGACCCAACCGCCGCCGGUGCCCACGACUCCCCGCCCGCGCCAACCGCCGCCAACUCGCCACGCGCCCCUGCCCCUAUAAAAUCCGCCCGCGCCCCCUCUCCCGAACGCCCCGCACGCCCUCGCUCUCCCCUGCCCGAGCGCCGCUCCCCGCGCCCAAAACCGUCGCCGCCGCCCAACUCCAGCGAGAAAUCGCCGGAGAACCGUCGCCUUAUCCGCGAAACCGCCGCCACCUGCUCGAUCCCCACGCCGCCGCAAAGCUCCGAUGCCCCCGCAGCGAGGCCAAAGACCGCCGGACAGACCUCGCCGCUGACGACCGAAGCAACCUCGCCGGAGCCACGUCGCGCCGCCACUUGAGACCACGCCGGAGCUCGCCGUUCGCACCGUUGUACUCCCCGCGACACCGGAAAUCUCCCCCAACCCUCCUUCUUCCUUCCCGAGUCCCGAUUCGUCGAUCCAUUCAUCUCCGGAAAGAUUUGGGUAUGAACAUGUUCAUCUCCCGUGCUUUUAGCUCUGUUCAAGCAUCGAUUGUUAGCAACCCUCUGAUCAUUAUGUGCUCUAGUUAUCACCAUGGUGUAGAGUGUAUGUUCCUCUACAAUUUCUCUGUAGACAGUAGCCGUAGAUGGUUCAUCUCGUGCAUUGCAUCGUCGUCGCAAAAUGGUAUUCUUAGCAGCUUUUCUGCCGUAUCUCUGCCGCGGCAGGAAAUUGUAGCACCAUCCUUAAUGAGUAGCCACAUUCAUCUGUUCAUAGCUACUGCCUCAUAUCUCCAUAGUUCAUGAAACCAGUGCCAUUUGGAAGAGUAGAUCAUAUUCGUGGAUUCGUAUGUUUAGUUCUCUGUCAUUGGAAUAGUUUAGCACCAGUAGAUUUUCAGUAGAAGUUAGUUUUCUUUGUCUGUCAGAAUCUGACUAGCCACCUUUGCAAGCCAGUAACUUUCGAUCUGUUUAUCCAACUGACCUGAAACCUAUUGCGUUAGUUAGUACAACCUUAGUACUGUACUGUGGCAUAUAUUUCAUGCCAUGUACUAUACUUUAGCACCUUUUACCUGUCAACCCUAGUUGCAACCUGUUAACAGUAGCAGAUUACUGAAUCUUCAGACUUAGCCACACUAGCCUUAACCUAGACUUUAGAACUUUGUUUGUUGAUACUAUAGUAUUGUUUGCAUGAAGUCGAAGUUCUGUUCUUGAAGUUUAUUUGGAGUUAUAUUUGAAUUUGGAUAUAUAUUUAGAAAUAUGCAUUUACUUUGUUUCGUUCUUCGCGUUAGAUUAUUCGGAUUGCGACUGCGACGAGUGCGAGGGAGUUGACGACCGCAACAACUUUUCUGAUCCAGACAAGUUACACUUAUUGAUCAUGUAGUACCUAUAUUUUGCUUACGCUAUGUUGUUUACAAUGUCAUAGGGAUGCAUGUUAGAUUUAUUUCCAUAUGAAAUAUUUAUCAAAUGCAUUUUCAACAUGUUUAGUUAUUCCUAAUAGAUUGCUUAUAGGAUCCAUUGACAUGCCACCAAAUACCAUAGGUUAUGUAUUUACAUUUUUCCAAAGCAUGCUAUACUAGUAUAACGGGACGGGACCCAAACUAUAUUGAAACGUAUUAAGUGCUCUUUAAGAGCGAGUAUGUUUUUGGAAAAAUGUUUUCGAAAUAAAACCAAAUUUUUUUAUCUGGAUGGAGUGGUAUGAUGGAGGCCAGUUGGCUAUCGGCAAGUGUUGUAGCCCCGUAACGGGUACACGCUCAGGAGAAGGUGGGGACCGCCGUCCAGAAAUCUAAGAGUUCAAACCUUCUCAUGUACCAAAAGGCUUCUUGUGCAACCACUUGCUAUUAUGAGCUCUGGCUUGGUCGACUAACUAGCGGGAAACCCUUACCUGGGUAUCGCCAUCCGGAGAGGAGCCAAUGUGCUCAUAUGGGGCGGGCGGUGCCAGAAUUAGGUAUUAGGGGGCUUCUAGUGAAAGACUUCGUCACAAUCUUUACCUGUUGCGCACGCUUGUCGUCAGGCAACACUUUGGACUGAUUGUGUCAAGUGGGUAAAAUGUACAAACCUCUCGAGAGUGUCAAUCUAAUCGAUUAGUCAUGCCCCUGGUUACGGGCGACUUUGAGUCAUUAAGUCAGGAAAAGUGGAGAUUUUCAAGUUUUGUUUUCAAAAACCCCAAAACUAUUUUGACUCGAUGGAAGGUUCCACAGAAUGAGUCAGGGAAAAAGGAAUGCUAUGUGAGUGUCAGUUGACCCAGAGUGCAUAGGUUGGUCGUUGAGUGAACAUACACAGAAUGACCAUACUAUUGUUCAAACUAUGUUUUAUCCAAACUCCAGGAUUAGAGAUUUCAAAAGAAAGUACUAUGAGUAAUUCAAAACCCCAAAAGCAGCAUUUUGCAAAAACAACCCUAGUAGCCAAACUAGGAAAUCGUUCAUCAUUUCCAUGCAUUCCUCCUAACCACACAGGUGUGACUUGCAAGUACAUUCAAUGUACUGACCUACACCUAUCAUGUGCAGAGAGUGACGCUUAAGAAGAAGACGCAGGGUCGCGAGUCUACACUCAACUUGCCUGUGGCGUUGAUGGGACUCCCUCUUUAUCAGUUUGCUUUAUUUUGAACUUCCGUUUGGGUUGUAUUAAGUACUCUGGAUUUGUAACUCGAACCGAUGUCAUAGACAUGUGUAUGGUACUUCAUCAAUGGAACUGUGUGUGCUCGCAUUUGAUCUAGGGACUAGCACAGAUUACACAGAGGUCCGGAUCCUUACGGGUAUGGGUCGCCACAACAGUGAAGGCUGUCAACCCCCGGUUUACACCCCC
This 2850-nucleotide long non-coding RNA is filed under the name Brachypodium distachyon (stiff brome). Its description in RNAcentral is "long non-coding RNA (BDIS_LNC002057)". The record is from RNAcentral. Lineage: Eukaryota; Viridiplantae; Streptophyta; Magnoliopsida; Poales; Poaceae.